Molecule: ribosomal RNA, 302 nt
Filed under: uncultured bacterium
Lineage: Bacteria
Description: bacterial SSU rRNA
Rfam family: Bacterial small subunit ribosomal RNA
Source: RNAcentral
GACGAACGCUGGCGGCGUGCUUAACACAUGCAAGUCGAGCGGUAAGGCCCUUCGGGGUACACGAGCGGCGAACGGGUGAGUAACACGUGGGUGACCUGCCUCUAGCUCUGGGAUAAGCCUGGGAAACUGGGUCUAAUACCGGAUAUGACUCCACGGCGCAUGUUGUGGGGUGGAAAGCCUUGUGUGGCUAGAGAUGGGCCCGCGGCCUAUCAGCUUGUUGGUGGGGUGAUGGCCUACCAAGGCGACGACGGGUAGCCGGCCUGAGAGGGCGACCGGCCACACUGGGACUGAGACACGGCCCA